AGAGUUUGAUCAUGGCUCAGAGUGAACGCUGGCGGCAGGCCUAAUACAUGCAAGUCGAACGGCAGCACGGCAGAGCUUGCUCUGUGGGUGGCGAGUGGCGGACGGGUGAGGAAUACAUGGGAAUCUGCCCAGUCGUGGGGGAUAACGUAGGGAAACUUACGCUAAUACCGCAUGCGCCCUUCGGGGGAAAGCCGGGGGACCUUCGGGCCUGGCGCGAUUGGAUGAGCCCAUGUCGGAUUAGCUAGUUGGCGGGGUAAUGGCCCACCAAGGCGACGAUCCGUAGCUGGUCUGAGAGGAUGAUCAGCCACACUGGAACUGAGACACGGUCCAGACUCCUACGGGAGGCAGCAGUAGGGAAUAUUGGACAAUGGGCGCAAGCCUGAUCCAGCCAUGCCGCGUGAGUGAAGAAGGCCCUCGGGUUGUAAAGCUCUUUUGUCCGGAAAGAAAAGCGCCGGGUUAAUACCCUGGUGUCCUGACGGUACCGGAAGAAUAAGCACCGGCUAACUUCGUG
This 511-nucleotide ribosomal RNA is filed under the name uncultured bacterium. RNAcentral describes it as "bacterial SSU rRNA". It matches the Rfam family "Bacterial small subunit ribosomal RNA", at positions 8 to 507 of the family's 1533-position model. The record is from RNAcentral.